UCCGAAAUAAUACACCUCAAGGACUUAUUGUCUCGAGUUGUGCCAAACGCGUCAGAACGGCAUGCUGAUGGGCAGAAUAAGCAGACAUAUGCCUCGGUGUCACACCUGAAAUUUUCUUCAUUUGGUGCAUCAUCUACUGGAGGCUCCUCGACAGCAAAGUUUUCCUCUGGUCCUAGGUUCGCAACAACUCCAAUGGAUCCAUCACCGUCUGCUCAUGGAAAUGGUCUGGUACGUCAGCCGGUGGAACAAGUCGGAAAUAACGAAUGGACGACAGUUCAAAGAAGGAAACGACCUGCCGCUGUGGGUGGAAAGAGCACUUCGAGCAAAACACAACUGCUGCAGAUGUAAAGGAUAUGGUUACCGACGCAGUGGGACACGAAUGUGUGACAGUAAGACAGCUGAAGACAAGGUAUUCUACCUACAGCUCUUUUCACAUAACAGUCAGUGCCAAUGAUUUUGAUAAAAUAAACUCGGAGGAACUUUGGCCGGAAGGCUCCAUAUUCAAACAGUUUCUGGGAAGACUAGACGAAUUGCGUAUUAUCGGUGGUAAUGACGAGGACAAAGAUGCUACCACGAGCGUUUAAUAUAUUUCAUGUUAAUAUUCGCAGCAUGAGAAAAAAUUUUGACUUGCUUGUUACUUUGUUAGCCACAUCUAAGGUUCAUUAUGACGUAAUCUGUCUUUCUGAGACAUGGCUCAAUGCCAGCGAGCAGUAUAAAUUACCUGGUUUUGCCUUUUUCUCGUCUCCAAGAAAGCACUUGUUAGGAACUGCAAGGGGUGGAGGAGUCGCACUUUUUGUAUCUGACAGGUUCUGUUGUGCUGUGAGAAAUGACAUUGACCUGUGGGUGCCUGAUUAUUGUGAAUCUAUGUUUAUUGAUGUCGUGGGUAUUGGGCUAGUUGGCUGCAUUUAUCGUUCACCCAGUUGCAGCUUGGAUGCGUUCCUCAGCAGGUUUGAGAAUGUGUUAUCUAAAAUACGCAGCCGUGAAUGUGUAUUUAUAGCAGGGGAUUUUAAUAUAAAUUUGUUACAUAAUCCA
Ornithodoros turicata is the source of this 1032-nucleotide long non-coding RNA. RefSeq lists it as uncharacterized. The record is from RefSeq and is a predicted model, not a curated record. NCBI's taxonomy places the organism in Eukaryota, Metazoa, Arthropoda, Arachnida, Ixodida, Argasidae. The transcript has 2 exons.